GAUGAACGCUGGCGGCGUGCCUAACACAUGCAAGUCGAGCGGACGGACGAGAAUCUUGCUGCUCUGGGGUUAGCGACGGGCGGGUAAGUGACACGUGGAUGACCUACCUAUAAGGCUACGAUAACUUCUAGAAACCGGAGCUAGUAGCGAAUGAUAUAUUCAGCCGCAUGGGUGACAAGUGAAAGACGGUCUUGCUGUCACGUAUAGAGGGAUCCGCGCUGCUCUAGCUAGUUGGUAAGGGAACGGGUUACCAAGGCAACGAGGCAUAGCCAACCGCAGAGAGUGACAGGACACACUGGGAGUGGGACACGGUCCAGACUCGUACGGGAGGAAGCAGUAGGGACUCUUGCGAAACGGGAGAAAGCAUGACGGAGCAACGCCGCGUGAGCGAAGAAGGUCUUGCGAUCGUAAAACUGUGUUAUUAGGGAAGAACAUAUGUGUAAGUAACUGUGCACACAAUGACGGUACCUAAUCAGAAAGCAACGGCUAACUACGUG
Molecule: ribosomal RNA, 497 nt
Filed under: uncultured bacterium
Lineage: Bacteria
Description: partial 16S ribosomal RNA
Rfam family: Bacterial small subunit ribosomal RNA
Source: RNAcentral